CCUACGGGUGGCUGCAGUGGGGAAUAUUGGACAAUGGGCGAAAGCCUGAUCCAGCCAUGCCGCGUGUGUGAAGAAGGCCUUCGGGUUGUAAAGCACUUUCAGUGGGGAAGAAAGCCUUGGGGCUAAUACCCUCGAGGAAGGACAUCACCCACAGAAGAAGCACCGGCUAACUCCGUGCCAGCAGCCGCGGUAAUACGGAGGGUGCGAGCGUUAAUCGGAAUUACUGGGCGUAAAGCGCGCGUAGGCGGUCUGAUAAGCCGGUUGUGAAAGCCCCGGGCUCAACCUGGGAACGGCAUCCGGAACUGUCAGGCUAGAGUGCAGGAGAGGAAGGUAGAAUUCCCUGUGUAGCGGUGAAAUGCGUAGAGAUCGGGAGGAAUACCAGUGGCGAAGGCGGCCUUCUGGACUGACACUGACGCUGAGGUGCGAAAGCGUGGGUAGCAAACAGGAUUAGAUACCCCAGUAGUC
Molecule: ribosomal RNA, 465 nt
Filed under: Vreelandella stevensii
Lineage: Bacteria; Pseudomonadati; Pseudomonadota; Gammaproteobacteria; Oceanospirillales; Halomonadaceae
Description: partial 16S ribosomal RNA
Rfam family: Bacterial small subunit ribosomal RNA
Source: RNAcentral